GAUGAACGCUAGCGGCAGGCCUAAUACAUGCAAGUCGAACGGGAUCCAGAUCAAAGCUUGCUUUGGUCUGGUGAGAGUGGCGCACGGGUGCGUAACGCGUGAGCAACCUACCCUUGUCAGGGGGAUAGCCCGGCGAAAGUCGGAUUAAUACCGCAUGACAUCAUUGAGAGGCAUCUUUCGAUGAUCAAAGAUUUAUCGGACAAGGAUGGGCUCGCGUGACAUUAGCUAGUUGGCAAGGUAACGGCUUACCAAGGCUGCGAUGUCUAGGGGCUCUGAGAGGAGAAGCCCCCACACUGGUACUGAGACACGGACCAGACUCCUACGGGAGGCAGCAGUAAGGAAUAGUGGUCAAUGGACGGAAGUCUGAACCAGCCAUGCCGCGUGCAGGAGGACGGCCCUAUGGGUUGUAAACUGCUUUUAUACGGGAACAAACGUCGGUACGUGUACCGGUCUGAGUGUACCGUAAGAAUAAGGAUCGGCUAACUCCGUG
This 490-nucleotide ribosomal RNA is filed under the name uncultured bacterium. RNAcentral's name for it is "partial 16S ribosomal RNA". It matches the Rfam family "Bacterial small subunit ribosomal RNA", at positions 28 to 507 of the family's 1533-position model. The record is from RNAcentral.